GGCCGAAACGGCAAACCCGGGGUGACCCGGGGACGCAAAGCCACGGGACUCGCGGCCGGCUCCCACCGGCGCGUCGAGUCAGCCGGGCUGCCGAAG
RNAcentral lists this non-coding RNA (96 nucleotides) under Chloroflexota bacterium. RNAcentral's name for it is "Chloroflexi bacterium c-di-GMP sequence". It matches the Rfam family "c-di-GMP-I riboswitch aptamer". From Rfam's summary of the family: GEMM was predicted in a large-scale screen for bacterial structured RNA regulatory elements. Genes associated with GEMM are involved in a diverse array of functions, including chemotaxis regulation, signal transduction, secretion and chitin. Lineage: Bacteria; Bacillati; Chloroflexota. The record is from RNAcentral.